AUACGGAGGGGGCUAGCGUUGUUCGGAAUUACUGGGCGUAAAGCGUACGCAGGCGGAUUGUUAAGUUAGGUGUGAAAUCCCAGGGCUCAACCCUGGAACUGCACUUAAAACUGGCAAUCUAGAGUUAUGGAGAGGUAAGUGGAAUUCCUAGUGUAGAGGUGAAAUUCGUAGAUAUUAGGAGGAACACCAGAGGCGAAGGCGGCUUACUGGACAUAUACUGACGCUGAGGUACGAAAGUGUGGGGAGCAAACGGGAUUAGAAACCCUAGUAGUCC
This 274-nucleotide ribosomal RNA is filed under the name uncultured bacterium. RNAcentral describes it as "partial 16S ribosomal RNA". It matches the Rfam family "Bacterial small subunit ribosomal RNA", at positions 523 to 796 of the family's 1533-position model. The record is from RNAcentral.